This 551-nucleotide ribosomal RNA is filed under the name uncultured bacterium. Its description in RNAcentral is "bacterial SSU rRNA". It matches the Rfam family "Bacterial small subunit ribosomal RNA", at positions 355 to 896 of the family's 1533-position model. The record is from RNAcentral.
UAGGGAAUAUUGCGCAAUGGGCGAAAGCCUGACGCAGCAACGCCGCGUGAGGGAUGAAGGUCUUCGGAUCGUAAACCUCUGUCAGAGGGGACGAACCGUCCCGGGUCGAAUAAGCCCGGGGCCUGACGGUACCCUCAGAGGAAGCACCGGCCAACUCCGUGCCAGCAGCCGCGGUAAUACGGAGGGUGCAAGCGUUGUUCGGAUUUACUGGGCGUAAAGCGCGUGUAGGCGGGCUGGCAAGUCCUGUGUGCAAUCUCCCGGCUCAACCGGGAAACUGCAUGGGAAACUACUAACCUUGAGUGCGAGAGAGGAUGGCGGAAUUCCUGGUGUAGCGGUGAAAUGCGUAGAUAUCAGGAGGAACACCGGUGGCGAAGGCGGCUUCCCGGACCAAUACUGACGCUGAGGCGCGAAGGCGUGGGGAGCAAACAGGAUUAGAUACCCUGGUAGUCCACGCAGUAAACGGUGAACACUAGGUGUAGCGGGUAUUGACCCCUGCUGUGCCGAAGCUAACGCAUUAAGUGUUCCGCCUGGGAAGUACGGCCGCAAGGUUA